RNAcentral lists this ribosomal RNA (1018 nucleotides) under uncultured bacterium. Its description in RNAcentral is "bacterial SSU rRNA". It matches the Rfam family "Bacterial small subunit ribosomal RNA", at positions 357 to 1376 of the family's 1533-position model. The record is from RNAcentral.
AGGAAUAUUGGUCAAUGGGCGUAAGCCUGAACCAGCCAAGUAGCGUGAGGGAAGACUGCCCUAUGGGUUGUAAACCUCUUUUGUGCGGGGAUAAAGUGUGGGACGUGUCCCAUAUUGCAGGUACCGCACGAAUAAGGACCGGCUAAUUCCGUGCCAGCAGCCGCGGUAAUACGGAAGGUCCGGGCGUUAUCCGGAUUUAUUGGGUUUAAAGGGAGCGCAGGCCGUCCUUUAAGCGUGCUGUGAAAUGCCGCGGCUCAACCGUGGCACUGCAGCGCGAACUGGAGGACUUGAGUACGCACGAGGUAGGCGGAAUUCGUGGUGUAGCGGUGAAAUGCUUAGAUAUCACGAAGAACUCCGAUUGCGAAGGCAGCUUACCGGAGCGCAACUGACGCUGAGGCUCGAAAGCGCGGGUAUCGAACAGGAUUAGAUACCCUGGUAGUCCGCGCGGUAAACGAUGGAUGCCCGCCGUUGGGAUUUAGAUUUCAGCGGCCAAGCGAAAGCGUUAAGCAUCCCACCUGGGGAGUACGCCGGCAACGGUGAAACUCAAAGGAAUUGACGGGGGCCCGCACAAGCGGAGGAACAUGUGGUUUAAUUCGAUGAUACGCGAGGAACCUUACCCGGGCUUGAAUUGCAGGAGAACGAUCCAGAGAUGGUGAGGCCCUUCGGGGCUCCUGUGAAGGUGCUGCAUGGUUGUCGUCAGCUCGUGCCGUGAGGUGUCGGCUCAAGUGCCAUAACGAGCGCAACCCCUGUCCAUAGUUGCCAUCAGGUCGUGCUGGGCACUCUGUGGAGACUGCCGCCGUAAGGUGUGAGGAAGGUGGGGAUGACGUCAAAUCAGCACGGCCCUUACGUCCGGGGCUACACACGUGUUACAAUGGGGCAUACAGCGAGUUGGAUGUGCGCAAGUACGUCCGGAUCAAUAAAGUGCCUCUCAGUUCGGACUGGGGUCUGCAACCCGACCCCACGAAGCUGGAUUCGCUAGUAAUCCCGCAUCAGCCAUGGCGCGGUGAAUACGUUCCCG